AUGAACGCUGACAGAAUGCUUAACACAUGCAAGUCAACUUGAACUUCGGUUUGGGUGGCGGACGGGUGAGUAACGCGUAAAGAACUUGCCUCACGGAUAGGGACAACAUUUGGAAACGAAUGCUAAUACCUGAUAUUAUGAUUAUAUGGCAUCGUAUAAUUAUGAAAGCUAUAUGCGCUGUGAGAGAGCUUUGCGUCCCAUUAGCUAGUUGGAGAGGUAACGGCUCACCAAGGCGAUGAUGGGUAGCCGGCCUGAGAGGGUGAUCGGCCACAAGGGGACUGAGACACGGCCCUUACUCCUACGGGAGGCAGCAGUGGGGAAUAUUGGACAAUGGACCAAGAGUCUGAUCCAGCAAUUCCGUGUGCACGAUGAAGUUUUUCGGAAUGUAAAGUGCUUUCAGUUGGGAAGAAAAAAAUGACGGUACCAACAGAAGAAGUGACGGCUAAAUACGUG
RNAcentral lists this ribosomal RNA (453 nucleotides) under uncultured bacterium. Its description in RNAcentral is "partial 16S ribosomal RNA". It matches the Rfam family "Bacterial small subunit ribosomal RNA", at positions 29 to 507 of the family's 1533-position model. The record is from RNAcentral.